UAGAUUUUCAAGAUGGGAAAAUCAUAUUGCAACCCACAGGCAUUUGGAAACAAUUUGUGCCGAAGACAGAAAGUACACCUAACGUUAAGCUGAAAAAACUGGACGCUCCCAGCAAACUCACUUUGCAGAUUCCUGGAUGUCAGAAGAAAAUGCCAGAGGAUUUCACUUGGCAUUGACCCCUUACUACUUCCAGCCACUUACCCUGGACAGUAGAAAGAAGGAACAGAAAGCAGGGUAGCUUAAGAGGAGUAAGUACCAAUGGCUGUGGGACUUCAAAUCACCACCUAAGAUUACUUCUUUGAUUUCUGAAAAAGUAGGUCAAAGGAAGACAUCAGGGCUUUGUUACAGGGUCAACUUCUCGGUGCAUGGCUCCUUCCAGUCUGAUAAGAACCAUCCCUCAGCCUUCAGACGAACAGGUCCAGCUGUGCUCAAGCAGCAGCUGUAUCUCUUUAUCAGAGAGCUGCCGUCGGUCCAGAAACUAUUUUGAUAGUGCAAUAAUGAAGAUUGACUUCCUUCUAGAAAUGACAGUCUUUAACUGGUGAAUGACAGGUGAGAGGAGGUGUAAAUACUCCAGCUUCCUUG
This 582-nucleotide long non-coding RNA is filed under the name Rhinopithecus roxellana (golden snub-nosed monkey). RNAcentral describes it as "lncRNA (ENSRROG00000045844.1)". Lineage: Eukaryota; Metazoa; Chordata; Mammalia; Primates; Cercopithecidae. The record is from RNAcentral.